AAUGCAAUUUUUAACCACUGGCUUGUGGUACUUUGAAAAUCACCAGGGGCUGUCAGAGUUGGGUCCUCUGAAAAAUUUACAGUGCUAAAUCAGAGCAUAUGCUGUGAGAGAGGAAAAAAAAUUGCUUAAGAUUGGAGCAAGUACAGUAUCUGGCUGCCCCCUAGUGUAAGUCUCUUAUCUGCCUAAAAUUCAACUUUAAAAGAAAAGGAUCUCUUAAAGGGAAACGACUUUUGGCUCACGUAUGCAUACGAGAAUGAAACUUCUGUACAUUUUAAUCUGAUUAAUUCCUAAGGAUUUAAAAUUAAUUGGCUUGGGCACUCCUAGACCGGACUAUAAGAUUUCUGCAUCAGGGUUUCUGCGAGAGCUGUGCCGAAUAGGUAUUUUUAAGGGAUAGUGGUAAGGGAUUGGGGGGGGGGGGAGAGAGAGAUCCUGUUUUGUGAUUUUUUUUUUUAAGCGAGGAUCCGAGCCUCGCUUGCUGUUCUCAGAGCAAAACACUUCUGCUGCUUAAAGUCAGAUCUACGUCUUUUGCAAUAAUACUUAAAAAAAAAAAAGGAUAAAUAAUUGCCUUAAAGCCUCAGCCGAACUGCCAACCACACCUUCGGAUGUUAGAAGGCAGAAAUAUGUGAACUGCUGAGAGAGUUUUAGUUUCAGACCUGUCCUAAUCCUGUGGUGGUGGCAAGAGGUGCAUCAGGAGGGGAAUAUUGAGGGAAUGCUGCUCGGGACGUGUUUGAAGCAAUCAAAGGGUUGAAAGAUUGAUUCGGCAUGUAGAUUGGAUUUAAUUCGAAGCAGCUUUGUUCUAAUGAGGACUACUGGGAUACAAAGACGGCAGCCGCUUAUGGCCACCAGUUGGGAACUUCCACUGGCUGCAGCAACCUGUCAAGAAUUCCAAGAAACUGCCAGGGUAAAAUUGCCUGCAGGGUCCGUUUGCUGAAGCCUGCUAAUUCCUCCUGAGGUCAGUGGGUACCGGGUGCUGGGCAGCACAGCCUCUCCUGGCCGGGCACAGUGGGCUCCGGCUGCUUCCCAAGAGACAGGGACAGUCAUGAAGAACGUGGGAUUUCCCACAGGAAUUUGGAAGAUGCCCAUGUCUAAGAUAAUGGUGAGGGUUGGGCCCAAAUCCAGAUCCAGCCUUGAUUCCUUCAUCCAAGUAACCCUGUGCUGACCCACGGCUGCUGAGGGAUCGCAGCGGCGUGGACCUUCCUCCCUCCCUCCUCGCUGCCCUGCAUCAGAUCACCAGGAGGACCUGAGAGUACUGGAUGGACCAUCACAAGACAGUGAUUGGAAAGCAUGGGGACCAAGCCCUCAGGGAGGUGGCUGAUGCAGCUGGUUCCCUGGCCCUGGGCUGUGGCUCAGCUCUUGGUGAUGGCACAAGUACCAGAGGCCAGAGGUAGGGACUGUUUCUGUCUUGGCUACUCCUCAUCAGUGCUUUGAGCUGCACGAAGCCCUGAGAACCAAGGAAACCUGAGUGAACCACCAGGGAUUUUCUCCUCUCUAUACCUGAAGCACAGCAGGAAGUUCCACCCUUUGCUUCUGCAGGUAGGAGCUCAAUCUAAUUUGCAGACUUAGUUUUAGUUUAGAAGCAAGGCAAUAAUCCUAAAAUAACUCAUGCAAAUGGUCACCCUCUUAUAGAACUGACAUUGUUUCUUCAUUUUCUCUCCAUUUUCUGGGUGAAGCAGCCAGCGUGAGGAGGGAAUGCUGGCACAUACCCCAGUUGAUAGCUGAGAAGAACAAACUGACAAAUAUUUUUAAUAUGCUGCAGCUUACCAACAUCCCAGUGAAUAAAGGGCAAAUGAGAUUUUCCACCGGUUAUUCAUAGAUCUACAUGGAGAUGCUGAUAAUCUGCCAUUUAGUCCAGAGACUGGACAGAAAUAAAUCACCAGAUAAAAUACAAUAUUCCUAGUGAAAUCCUUCAUGGAAUGUGUUCUUGCCCCAAACCCCUCCUGGAAUAGGCACAGCAAUGCUCCCUGAGACCUGGCAGCCCUUCUAAGUGAGCAUAUGGUCUGCUCAGCUCUCUCAGUGCUGGUGCACGGCGAGUAAACACGCUGAACUGUCAGAGCAAACAGGGGGCUCUUUAAUGGCACAAAAUUCUGUGCCUGCUUCAAACUCCAUCACUACUCCAGAAAUGGAUUUCCCUUCUCUGCUGGAGCAUGCCCUGUUUGCAGGAGGGACGGGAAAAAAAGUGAGAGAGUCUCCUUGGAUGGUGUCUGUGACCACUUCCCAUAAAGCUGUAAUGCUGUGGAAGGGUCUUGGUGUGACAGAAGUUGCAUUUUCUGGUGAUGCUACGUCGCCUUCUCUGUUCUUUUGAGAUGUCCCCUGAUGCAUUAUAACUUGCUCAGUCACUGGGAGAGAAAGAGGGCCCUGAAGGUAAAAAUCCCAGUGUUAAUCAAGGCUGGCAAAGGGCAGAACAUUAGCUGCAGUAAUUGUUUUUCUGAGGGAGCCAACAAAGCCGGGCUCGUCGGCGCUAGCAAACAGAUCCGGUCCUGCCUCUGUGCUCCUCACACUGGCAGAACAUUGCCCUGAAAUCACUGGAGCAGGGACCGGGCCAGGAAUGAGCAGCUAAGUUGCAAAGCAAAUUAAUUCCUGCCAAAAAAGUUCAGCUAUGCUCAGAAGUAUGUAAAGUGUCUGAUUUGAGAAGUGUCAAGUAGCAUUUGUGACCAAUUAUCCAAGAUGAAGGGGGCAGAGCUAUGUUUACAUGUACUAAUCUUCAGCCAAAGUUUGAAAACUCUAAUUCAUGGACACGCAUCAAAUUUCCUUUCCAGGCUUGGCAUUUGCCUGUACGCACGCAUGCACAUUGCUCGGGGAUGACAGGAAAACAUGAUUAUGACUUGCAAAUAAUACAAAUAAAAAAAAAAAAAAGAAAAAGAAAAAGCAAGAAGAGCUGCCAUGCAGCAGCAGCGUGGUAAUUAAACCUGUACUGUGAUAUGCAAAAAGAAUCAUGGACCACUGUAUGAGUAAAAUAGCUUUAUCAGCUGUGCUGAAAUAUGAUGUGUGGUGUGUCUGUAUUGUAUAGCUAUUUUUCCACAACCUGUGAAGCCCUGGGAAAUGAUCUACACAAAAGAACAAGAAGUAAAAGCUGCCUCUGCCAUCUUCUGUUUAAUUAACAUAGGUAUACCAAUUUAAUGCAAUUAAUCAAGAUAGGAGGGAUUAAAGAGUAACUCAGUUGACAAUGACAGAGUUAGCAUUGCUGUGGCACGAGAAGGGCUGCAAAAUGAGAGUGGUGACUGGGAGCGCUGUGAGGAGGAACAAGCUGGCUGCAGUUUUGGGAGGUUUAUGCAGAUGUAUUGAAAUUUAGGGGCAGCUGAUUUUUCAUGUGGCCAAGUGUUUAUCUGCCCCUGCCCUUUCCUUUACCCUCUCAGACCUUCCAGGGUAAUCCCCAGAGUGGCAACAACUUUUAAAGCGAUUCCUCUUUCUUCUAACAGAUUCCUGAUGCUAAAGGUCUGACCUUAAAAUGAGCAGUGCAUAGGGCAAGAGUGGGUACUGCAGUGAGCUCCUGGCCUUCAACCCUUCCAAAUACAGCUAUUUUGGUAACCAGAACACUAUAUUCACCAUGGGUGAGGGAACAGAGCCUUUCAGUGCAGGGCUUCUCAGCACAUUAACUCUGUCAGUGCUGGAUUCUGUGUCCCUGUGCAAGUUGCCUGUGCUUAUUUAAGACUAUAAAUGCAGAUUUGCAGAAGUCUGCAGCAUUCUGUAACUUCGUGGUUGUGCUUUUGUGCCCGAUGCACCCAAAAACUGGACUGAGUCCUGUGGAUUUCCACGUGGGUCUGGGAAGGACUGUAACCACAUGCAGCUGAGAGUAGCUCAGACUUGGAUUUCUGGUUGGCAGGAGAGGCACAGCCUGGUUUGCUACAAUGCAACUGUCCUCAUUAAUGUUCUUCAAGCCCUGAUGGACUGGGACCGCCAUGGUUGGGUCAGAAGAUGGCUGAGUUUUCCAGGCUCAUUCUCUUGUCUUCAGAAUGUUAAAUUGGGUGAUAAUGAGUAGUAACUGUGUCCUUUUUUAUGGUGAAGUUGACACUUGCCUUCUAGUAAACAGACACAGAGAUGACCCUCCUCAUUUCGCACAGGUCACCAAACAGCCCUGGAAUGGUAGGGGUUAUUGGCCAUUUACCAAACUCUGUUUGACUUGGGUUCAUGGGUGAGAGAUGAAAGGCUCUAUAUUGCAUUACCAAUCCCUGGGGCCAGCCAGUCUCCCUAAAGAAGCAUUUCAUUUAGCAAGGCAACUGCUGGCCCAUGGGAAUCGGAGACUUGGGAAAAAGAGGACACAGUUUCAAUUGCAAAUGUUUCCUCGGGGCAGAUGUCUUAAAGCCACACAGAAACUCACUGCUUCAGUGUCACAAUAGUUGCUCCAGGACACUUAAUGACCAGCAGAUUUUCCCCUUUAAUUAAUCUCCCCUUUUUCCCAAGAAAACAUCCGUUAGGUUCCUUGUGGUGUUUCUGCCUCUGCCCUGCUGUUUUGUCCAUCUCCCUGGGGCAAGACCAUUGCAGCAAUUGUGAACUGUUACCUUUUCCAAGAGCUUCAAAAUUGAAACAGAUGAAGCAAGGAGCCCUGGUAACACACUUAGAGGUUUUGGGCUCUUGGGAGGAGAAAUGAGUACUCCUGAAGUGUCCAGAUAUUUUCCUUACCCUAGAGCAAAGAUGCUGACUGAUUUUCUGGGUUAUAGUAGAGUGGUCAUUGCUGUUGGGGUAGUGUAAGUGCUGCCUUUUUUACAGAUAAUGGAUGUAGUGAUUGAUGGCUACAGGAAGAAGAAUAUUUGAUUCAGAACAAGAAUUCAACCCAGGCUUGUCCUGAUUUUCCUAUGAUCUGAAAAUCCAGUGUUCCAAAUUCAUUAAUUCUCUUUCAGUUUCCCCCCUUACUGUUUGUGAUGUGAGUCAUGAGACCUUCAGAAGUUGCAUUUGUUGUUUGAUAGUUUUACAUCGUGGUUGUAAUAGUGCAUCUGCCAAGUCAGCAGGUUCUUUUCUGUGUUUGUUUGUUUGUUUACCACUCCAUUUCCAGCAAGUUCUUGUUACCCAAUUCCUGCUGACAGCAGAGGAAGAGGCACAAGUCAGCUCAGAAAAUGAACGACUAGAAGACUCAGUGAUACUGAACCAUCCUGGCUCCUGCUUUCAGGCUGGGGUCACAAGUUGGACUUGGAAGAAGAAACUUCCAUGCAGAGAUGUGACUGCAGUGUGAACACUGUGCCAGGAUUUCUUUACAGAUGAAACCUGGAGUGUCCUAAAAUCCAGCAACCACUCAAUACCAGCAACUCCCACACCCCUCUGUGCUCCUGCCAUUGCUUUGAACCAGUUUAUUUAUUCAUUUGGGCUUUAAGCACUCAGAUGCAUUCCUUCUUGCUGCAGCAGCAGGGGUACAGGAAGGGGUGUUUGAAACCACGCAGUCAAUUCCACCCUGGAUUUCAGGAGGAGUUAUUCUUGUCUCAGAGAUGACGCAUUCAAAUAUCCCUCUACGGAUUCCAGUUCUCAGCCCAAGAGGUCAUGGAUGGUGAGAGCUCUCAUCUACUUUGGAGCUGUUCUAUCUUCUAAGAGAAAUCAGGAAGAUGAGUUGGGAGAGAUGCUUUACUUUCCUUGAUAAAACAAAUGGCCAUUUUUAGCCUAAUCAUCACUUCUGCCUGAGGAAAGAGCAACUCUUUGAGGUAAGUUCCCUUGGAUAUAAUUCUUUCUUUCUAGAAAGAAGGGCUGCAGCUAAUACAUAUCCCGAGUCAUAAUGUGGAUUUGCACCUUUCCUGUUAAAUAUAGCUGGUUUAUGUCCAAAGGAUCCCUUCUGUCCCUAAUGCUCACUCAUAUUGUUACAACUUCUACAUUAGUUGCAGGUGUGAAAUGCCAACUGAUCCACACUUGUGGUGCUGUCAGCAGGGGAGUAAUGUGAGUCAAAGGCCUGCCUCUCAGAGGGGAGGUCACCCGGAUCUCCAUUUGCACAUCUGCUUUGCUAAACACAAAACUCUGGAGGUUUGAAAAGCUCCAACGUGCACAAAGUGGGGUGUGAUCACAUGCACAGAAGGAACUGCUUGUGCCUGUCAUUGAUUAUGCAGGACACAGAAUUUUCCUUGUGUACAAAAUUCAUCCUGCAUUACAACAGGUGAUGUUUUACUCAUCAGUUCUAUAUUGAUAAGGAGAAAACCCACACUUCUCUGCAUUCCACGAGCAGACAGGAUACCAAGAGGUUUAAAAAGAGCCCCACACACAUUAAGCAGCUUCAGAAAGAUGCUAAUAUUCAGCAUGUCCCUGCUUGGAGUGUGCAGACAUAAAGAUCAGGAAAAGUGCCUGAUCAGAGCUCUGGAGAGACCGUGCUGCUGGAGCCUGCCUUGCACAGAGGCAUCCUGGUUUGGUUCUGAGGGCUUCCAGAGGAGCCUUCAAACGUUUCUAUUUCCUGCUGUUAGUGGAUUUUUUUCAUACCUUGGAAUAAGCCUUCCCCUGGUAAUGUGUUUGCAGUUGAUGCUGAGAUAACAGUUCUUGCUCAGGGGACCUCUAAUACACAGUAUUUUAUGGUUUCUACAUUUUAUGUGAGAUCAAAAACUCCUCCUAUGUAUACAUAUAUGCCUAAUUCUUUCUUGAUUCCUGCUAGAAUCUAGAAUGUCCCUCAGUAUCUGCCGUAAGGAUGCCCACAAGUAAUCUAUACUGAAUAUUUUUUGGUCUGAAUAUGUUUGGCCUUUUAAUGUCAUAUUUAUGACACCGUGAUUCUGGUUACUCUGCACUUACAGGACAUUUUUAACACAAGCAUCCAAGCAUCAUUCAUCACUAUGCAUUGCAUUUUUUCCUCUCUCAGUUGGCUACUUCCAAUUUUUUUCAGGGACAGUGAAACCAAUGCUGACCUUUUUAUCCAAAAUGAGAAAACAGGGACUUGGUCAUCAGCUGUAUGCUGAUGUUCCAUGGAUGUUACAUCAGGUUCCAUGGAAUUUAGACCUUGUGUCCUCACAUUAACUUAGCCAGAAUUAAAGAAAAGUGAUUUCUAAAGCCCAAAGCAUACUGAGGAGAGCCAUGAGCUGAACACAUAGGUCAGAGCAUGUUUCAUGAACACCUGAAAUUCCAGCCCUGAGCCUCUGCUGCUCAUCAUGGACAUCUCCUUAAGGGAGCUGCUGAAAAUAAUUUCCAUGAGAAUCAGAAGAAAAUAAUUUUCACAAGAAUCACUUUUGAUACUGAGGAAGGAGAGCACUUGCAUUUUAAAGAAAAGUUUGAUUCUGGAAAGUCUCUGUUGGUGAGUUAGAGGAGCUGUAGAAGACAGAGUGGCUGUUUGACUCUUGAUGGAAGCCUCUGUUGAAUUCAGGCCUUUGCCCUGAAAUUCACCCCAGAAAUUCAGAAGUUUCAUCUUUGAUCAGAACAGUAAUAGGAAUGACAUUGGUUUCCCUGGGCUGUACAUUAUAGACAUGACAGAACCAUGAAAAGAAAUGGAGAAAGGGGUACUCAUUUUCUUGGAAUGAAAUAUAAGCUUGGAAAACAUUUGAGUAUAAUAUGCUGAAAGUUAAAAGAAACAUUUUUAAAGAAACAUUUUCAAAGAGCAUGCCUGUUAGUUUUAUCCUAAUUUUUGCCAUGUAUAAUUAUGAGAAACACAGACAACUCAUAAGAUUUUUUAGUUUCUGUUGAGAAUUGUCUUUUCCAAGAUAAUUCUGUACACUAUUACUUCAGCCCACUGGGUAUCAUGUAGGGAAGGUGCAAGAUUAUGCACAUGAAUAUUUCUGUCUACCACUUAGGCGUGCUGAGACAAUAUCAGCUUAUACUUGCUCCUGUCAUUGGUCCUUAUUCCAUGGAGGAUAUUCUUAAUUAUCAGCAAGACAGUUUGGUAAUAUCAUGUAAAGUGUAACAGCAUAAUUUCUGUGAUGAUUUACACCUGCUAAGGAUCUGAAUACUGAAUUUUAAAACAUAGUUUAAGUUCAGAAGGAAGAGUAUAUUUUCUACAAGACACUAUUUCUAUUUUUAAUAGAAAUAAUCUCAUUUAUUUAAUUUAUUGGCACUUUUCUUCUAAAUGAAAUGGAGCUUUUGAAUGUGAAGAUACCAUUUUUACACAUUUUCACUGCCCUGACAAAUUUAGAGCACACUUCUGUACUGGAUUAAAUCAACUUGAGUCGAAAUGCCUAAACACUAUUUUUGACAACUGUGCAUGAGGGACGUGCCUGUACAGGGAUUCUAAAGAAUAAAAAACCUAAAAAUAUCUCAGUUGCAAAGAAAAUUCCCCGUAUUCCUUCUUACACUUUGUAAUAGUGGCUAUAUAUAUGUAUAUAUAUCUUUUUUAACCCUCACAGGUUUAUCUCUAAUUCUGUUGGAAAUGAUUGAAAUAAUUCCAUUGACUUUAGCAAACUCUCUUUCCUGCUGGAUUAAAGGCAAUAUUUGUGCAGCAGAUUUGCUGGUGGUGCCCCACUAAUGAAACAGGUAAUUUUAUAAACAUGUCAGGGAGGGUAAGUGCCCAAUAAAAAGAUUUCAGAGAGAUGCACAAAUUACAGUUUAUUUGUAAUGGAAAUAAAACCAGGAAUUCUAACUGUGAGUCAUUAAUUUCUUUAUAAUCGCUUCCACACUUGGGGAAACUUUUCCCUAGGUUGUCUACAGAAACCCUGCAAUUCUUGGGGCUUCUGAUGGCACUUAUGAUCACAACAACACAUCUAAUUUCUGAUAAAAAUUACUUAUUUUGGGAAGGAUUGUUUUUUUCUCAAAUUGCUCUUCUGAGUCUUUAUCUGCAACUGUUUUCUUAUCCUCCUCCUCAUUUUCUAUUUCUAAUAUAAAACCAGGAAUCCUUAUCAAUUUAGAAGAGCAAUAAAACUAAAGAAGAUUCAGGCAGAAGUGUAAAGCACAGUCUAUUUUAAAGUUCCAACUCAGAUAAUAAGACUCUGGUUUGUGCUGCACCUCACUCAUGGACUCAGUUUUCCAUAGUGCAUUCAGUGUUGUAAUAAUGCAAAUCAAAUACAAUUUUAAUAACUCCUUCCAUUAAUGUUUUAAGACUGCAACACUUAUGAGCAUGAUUCUAAUUGCAUGAUUUUGCUACAGGCAAGUUUUAUAGAUCUGUCUGAUCUUUGGAUAUUUGCACCGUUUGGAUCAUUUUAAAUAAUUAAUUUUUGGAAGAAUUUCAGUCUCAGUAACAACAGUUGGGUUUGAUAGUGGCUGUCUUGUCAGUAAUUGUAUGUAUCUGCUUCCAUGCCAGGAUAAACUAGAUAAUUUUAGAACUCUUUGGGAGGAGGGGGCUGAGAUUUAUUCCAUGGCAAAUGUUAUGGAGAGUGUUCUUAGGAGGGGAAUAUUUAUAGACUAUGUUAAUACAAGGAGCAAAAGAGGUUUAAAGUGAAUAAAAUUUUGUCAUGCAGUACAAUUAGUUAAUUAAAUUGCAGGACUUUCUGCCAAAAGAAUACCAAAAAUAUAAUCAACUUAAAAUACCAUUAAACAUUCUUGUUUUAUGCAACUUCUUUUGCCAGUCUGUAAUGCACUGCGUGAUAGGAACAAGGAAAAUACCUCAUGAGAAGAAUUAGUUUGACUUCUGACAUUUUUCUGCAUAUCUGCUGGGAGUUUCUGCCACAGGGGCCACAGAAUCAUGGAAUC
Molecule: long non-coding RNA, 9504 nt
Organism: Serinus canaria (Common canary)
Lineage: Eukaryota; Metazoa; Chordata; Aves; Passeriformes; Fringillidae
Exons: 10
Source: RefSeq, a predicted model, not a curated record